UGCGUCACGACGCCGCCAGCUGAUCGCAGACUGUAGCCGGUGUGUGCUGGGCGCUGGGAAGAGACAGCGCCGCCGGCCGUGGGGAUCGGACGCACUGAUUUGCUCCCCUACCCUCAGCACCCCCCCCACCCAGCACCAGGCACCUGUACCUCCCACAUCCUCACCUGGCUGAGCCGCAGUAGUUCUUCAGUGGCAAGCUUUAUGUCCUGACCCAGCUAAAGCUGCCAGUUGAAGAACUGUUGCCCUCUGCCCCUGGCUUCGAGGAGGAGGAGGAAGAAGAGAAGGAGCUGCCUUCCCCUCAUCUGGAAGGUGACAGAACUGGGUCUGGGAAGGUCUGAACAGCGAGCGUGAUGAUACCUUUGGGAAAGGGAACCCUAUUCAGCUGGAGAACCUUCACCCAGAUUGAGCCAGCAGGAGAGAAAAUUUCAGAUUAGAGACCUUGGCUGAAUUGGGGAAUAGAUGGCUCUGACUACACCCAAGUGUCUCCCUCCAGCCUUGGGUAUGUGGCUCUGCCAUCCUCACCCAUCAUGGAGCAGAAAUGAGGAAGAGCAGCCUGGGAACACAGAGGCAGGCAGAAGACUAGUGAAGGACCAGGCCUGGAGAGCACAGGGCCCUGUCUGGACAUCUGCUGAGGGGGGCCCAUAGAGGCCAGGAGAGCCCCAGGAGGAGGGAGAACGGCCAGCCUCCAUCGAGGACAAGCUUCCAGCCAUCUACUUCAUUCUCCGUUGCUCUCCAGUCGUUCUGCCUCCCUCAGAGAUGUGGGACCAUGUUAAAGCGUCCUUGGCUUCAUCCUGCUGCUUCCACCUCUCCCCACCAUGUAAUUUAGCUGUGAAAGGACAUAUGCAGAAAAUUCUUAAAAGAAAUUCAAAUGGAUUUGAAUGUGUGGGAAAAAAUGUGUGCUUCAUUAGUAAUUAAAGCGAGGCAAAUAUAGCUGAAAGCGUUUUUCCCGUAGCAAACUAUAACAGAAAAAAAAUAAGACCCAGUUAUUGGCAAAGGAGUACUAAAAUAACACUCUCUACAUUGCAUAUGGGCGUACAAAUUGCUACAGCCUUACUGAUGUCAGUUUGGUAACAUGUAUCAAACAUCCUAAAAGUUUCCAUGGCCUUUGACCUAGUAAUUCUACGUUUGGAAAUUUAUCCUAAGGAAAUAAUUAAAGAUUAGUUUAAACGAUGUUCAUCCCAGCAUUGCAGUAGAGAAAAAUGAGAAGCAACUAUCUGGUUGGGAAUUGAUUUCUUUUCUGCUAUAAUUGAAAUUUGCAAGAGGGGGUUGCUUAAGUAAAUUAUUGUAUAUCCAUCCGGAUGGUGUGGUGGAGUGCUGUGCAGCCAUUAAAAGUCACAUAGAAGAACAUUUGACUGGAAAGAAAAAUGCUCCUUGAACAUUAAAAAGAUUAUAAAAAUGGUGUAUAUUAUGUGAUCUCAAUUUUGUUUUUAUACAUAAAACAGUCUGAAAAAGACUGACGACAUACUCCAAAUUGUUAAUAAUAGUAGUUACCUUUGAAUGAUGGAAUAAAAUAGUUGUAAUUUUUCUGUUUGGUUUUCUGUAGUUGCCAAAUUUUCUACAUUAAUUGUGUAUGACUUCCAUAUAAUAAAAUUUAAAAG
Phocoena sinus (vaquita) is the source of this 1598-nucleotide long non-coding RNA. Ensembl lists it as uncharacterized. The record is from Ensembl. NCBI's taxonomy places the organism in Eukaryota, Metazoa, Chordata, Mammalia, Artiodactyla, Phocoenidae.